RNAcentral lists this unclassified non-coding RNA (336 nucleotides) under soil metagenome. RNAcentral describes it as "partial contains 5.8S ribosomal RNA, internal transcribed spacer 2, and large subunit ribosomal RNA". The stretch from base 1 to 120 matches the Rfam family "5.8S ribosomal RNA", at positions 35 to 154 of the family's 154-position model. The record is from RNAcentral.
GAUGAAGAACGUAGUGAAAUGCGAUAAGUAAUGUGAAUUGCAGAAUUCAGUGAAUCAUCGAAUCUUUGAACGCACAUUGCGCCCGCCAGUAUUCUGGCGGGCAUGCCUGUUCGAGCGUCAUUUCAACCAUCAAGCCCCAGGCUUGUGUUGGAGACCUGCGGCUGCCGCAGGCCCUGAAAACCAGUGGCGGGCUCGCUGUCACACCGGGCGUAGUAGAUUUUAUCUCGCUCAGGGCGUGCUGCGGGUUCCGGCCGUUAAAAAGCCUUUUUUACCCAAGGUUGACCUCGGAUCAGGUAGGAAGACCCGCUGAACUUAAGCAUAUCAAUAAGCGGAGGA